UUGCACGCUGGCGGCAGGCCUAACACAUGCCAGUCGAACGGUAACAGGAAGAAGCUUGCUUCUUUGCUGACGAGUGGCGGACGGGUGAGUAAUGUCUGGGAAACUGCCUGAUGGAGGGGGAUAACUACUGGAAACGGUAGCUAAUACCGCAUAACGUCGCAAGACCAAAGAGGGGGACCUUCGGGCCUCUUGCCAUCGGAUGUGCCCAGAUGGGAUUAGCUAGUAGGUGGGGUAACGGCUCACCUAGGCGACGAUCCCUAGCUGGUCUGAGAGGAUGACCAGCCACACUGGAACUGAGACACGGUCCAGACUCCUACGGGAGGCAGCAGUGGGGAAUAUUGCACAAUGGGCGCAAGCCUGAUGCAGCCAUGCCGCGUGUAUGAAGAAGGCCUUCGGGUUGUAAAGUACUUUCAGCGGGGAGGAAGGGAGUAAAGUUAAUACCUUUGCUCAUUGACGUUACCCGCAGAAGAAGCACCGGCUAACUCCGU
This 488-nucleotide ribosomal RNA is filed under the name uncultured bacterium. Its description in RNAcentral is "partial 16S ribosomal RNA". It matches the Rfam family "Bacterial small subunit ribosomal RNA", at positions 30 to 506 of the family's 1533-position model. The record is from RNAcentral.